CCCUGUGGCUCAGUUGGUAGAGCAUGGUGUGUGCAACGCCAGGGUUGUGGGUUCGAUUCCCACAAGGG
This 68-nucleotide transfer RNA is filed under the name Salmo salar (Atlantic salmon). It matches the Rfam family "tRNA". Rfam says of the family: Transfer RNA (tRNA) molecules are approximately 80 nucleotides in length. Their secondary structure includes four short double-helical elements and three loops (D, anti-codon, and T loops). Further hydrogen bonds mediate the characteristic L-shaped molecular structure. tRNAs have two regions of fundamental functional importance: the anti-codon, which is responsible for specific mRNA codon recognition, and the 3' end, to which the tRNAs corresponding amino acid is attached (by aminoacyl-tRNA synthetases). tRNAs cope with the degeneracy of the genetic code in two manners: having more than one tRNA (with a specific anti-codon) for a particular amino acid; and 'wobble' base-pairing, i.e. permitting non-standard base-pairing at the 3rd anti-codon position. The record is from Rfam by way of RNAcentral. Lineage: Eukaryota; Metazoa; Chordata; Actinopteri; Salmoniformes; Salmonidae. RNAcentral also lists the same sequence under 1 other name.